Molecule: unclassified non-coding RNA, 244 nt
Filed under: uncultured fungus
Lineage: Eukaryota; Fungi
Description: partial contains 18S rRNA, ITS1, 5.8S rRNA, ITS2 and 28S rRNA
Source: RNAcentral
AAGGAUCAUUAUUGAAUUUAAUGUAGAGUUGGUUGUAGCUGGCCUAAUUAAUAAUUUGGGCAUGUGCACACCUUCUCUUUCAUCCACACACACCUGUGCACCUGUGAGACAGAGUGGGAAUUUUAAUUUAAUUUAAUUGGACCCUCUGUCUACUUAAUUCACACAAACUCUAUUUAUUAUAAAAUGAAUGUAAUUGAUGUAACGCAUCUAAUACUAAGUUUCAACAACGGAUCUCUUGGCUCUC